Molecule: unclassified non-coding RNA, 984 nt
Filed under: Hevea brasiliensis (rubber tree)
Lineage: Eukaryota; Viridiplantae; Streptophyta; Magnoliopsida; Malpighiales; Euphorbiaceae
Source: RNAcentral
CUUGAAACUACACUGUCGCCCUCUCUCUCACUCUGUUCUAAUUUUCCUUUUCUGCAGCACCAUUGUUCUGUUUCCAACCCCUCUCUCUCUUUCAGCUCCAAGUUUCCUUCCCUGGAAAGGACCUCCUCCACUGGGUCUGUGUCUCUUUCUCUCUCUGUAGUCUUUUUCCCUCUGUGAUAUUGCUUUCUCUCCAGUCUCCAGUCCCAUUCCCCUUCUCUGACUGAUCACCAAAGCAUCCAAAUCAACACCAUUAGCCCCUUUCGAAUCCACCCUCUGCAAAUCCUUUGAUCUCUCUCCACCUCCUUCAUAGUUUCCUUGUUUUCACAAAGAAUCAUGUCUUUUACUGGACAGGCCGUGUCUUUCAUUGGAGAGUCUGCUCUUUCAUCAUUCUUUCAGUCCCUUUUUGAGAAGAUAGAGUGCCCUGAGAUUCUUAAGUUUGCUCGUGCGGGCAAGUACUUGCUGACAUUAGGAAGUGGGAGAAAUGUUGAUGAAGAUCCAAGCUGUCCUUGAAUAUGCAGAGGAGAAGCAGAUGUCUAACCUGCGGGUGAAGAUGUGGCUGGACGGCCUCAAAGAUUUGGCUUACGAUGUGGAAGACAUCUUGGACGAGUUUCAAACUGAAUCUUUGCAACGCCAGUUUAAGGGAGAAACUGAAGCUGGUUCAAGUAAGUUUCGGAAACUCUUCCUUUCUAUGACAACUACCAUCAAUCCAGGAGCAGUCAUGUUCAAUUCAGCAAUGGUGUCCAAUAUUGUGAUCUGGUUAUUGACUUUUCCUUUUCUGGCAGAGGAAUGAGUGCAAAGUUAGAGUCAAUAGCUGAAUGGUUCGGCAACAACACAUCUCUCGAAUCUAUUGAAAUCGGAUAUCUUCCUUAUCUUAAAUCCUUGCCCAAGAACCUGCAAAUGCUCACCAAUCUCCACCAUGUUCGGAUACAUCACUGUCCAAGUUUUGUUUCUUUUCCGCGUGGAGGGUUGCCUAUCGUUCAUCUU